This 380-nucleotide ribosomal RNA is filed under the name Coniochaeta sp. Its description in RNAcentral is "eukaryotic LSU rRNA". The stretch from base 54 to 207 matches the Rfam family "5.8S ribosomal RNA". The record is from RNAcentral. Lineage: Eukaryota; Fungi; Ascomycota; Sordariomycetes; Coniochaetales; Coniochaetaceae.
GAAACUCUUUUGUAUUUUAGUGGCCUCUCUGAGAAAACAAACAAAUAAGUUAAAACUUUCAACAACGGAUCUCUUGGUUCUGGCAUCGAUGAAGAACGCAGCGAAAUGCGAUAAGUAAUGUGAAUUGCAGAAUUCAGUGAAUCAUCGAAUCUUUGAACGCACAUUGCGCCCGCCAGUAUUCUGGCGGGCAUGCCUGUUCGAGCGUCAUUUCAACCCUCAAGCCCUGCUUGGUGUUGGGGUCCUACGGCUGCCGUAGGCCCUGAAAGCUAGUGGCGGGCUCGCUACAACUCCGAGCGCAGUAAUGUAUCUCGCUAGGGAAGUGUUGCGGGUUCCGGCCGUUAACCCCCCAAUUAUCAAAGGUUGACCUCGGAUCAGGUAGG